Tupaia belangeri chinensis (Chinese tree shrew) is the source of this 476-nucleotide long non-coding RNA. RefSeq lists it as uncharacterized. The record is from RefSeq and is a predicted model, not a curated record. The transcript is spliced from 2 exons. NCBI's taxonomy places the organism in Eukaryota, Metazoa, Chordata, Mammalia, Scandentia, Tupaiidae.
AAGAGCCCUGCUUGUUGUUCCUCGCGUGUGACAACAUGGAGGAAUCUGAUUCCUCCAAAUCCUGCCUUCGCCCUCUGCCGUCUCAGUGCUCAACCUCUUCACCUGUUAGGUAGCCACGGCUGUAGGAUUUUCCUCUGCAGUUUGUCGUCAGCUGGAUCAGAUCAUUCACGUAAAGCAAUUUUCCCAGGACCUGGAGGAGUCGGUCCUCAGUAGAGGCAUUUCAUCAGAAACCAUGCCGACCCUGUCACACUCCCUCGACGCCCUUUUAUCUUGAGCCACCAGGACACUAAGUGGAUUCCAUGCAGACAUUACCAGCCACCUUCCAGAGCUCAUGACAAGCUAUGGAGUUCUAGAGAACAGGAGGGGCCCUGCUCCAGGAGCAAAACAACUGCGAACGAAGAAGCCUCAGAAAGCAGCACCUAAAAAAGAAAAGUAGCAAAAUAGGAGCCGGAAAACAUCGCUGAUGUUCUAUCCUU